UACGUAGGGUGCGAGCGUUGUCCGGAAUCAUUGGGCGUAAAGAGCGUGUAGGCGGCCCCUUAAGUCCUGCGUGAAAUCCUGCGGCUCAACCGCAGACGGUCGUGGGAAACUGGAGGGCUAGAGUGCGGGAGAGGAGAGUGGAAUUCCCGGUGUAGCGGUGAAAUGCGCAGAUAUCGGGAAGAACACCCGUGGCGAAGGCGGCUCUCUGGAACGCAACUGACGCUGAGACGCGAAAGCGUGGGGAGCAAACAGG
RNAcentral lists this ribosomal RNA (253 nucleotides) under uncultured bacterium. RNAcentral's name for it is "partial 16S ribosomal RNA". It matches the Rfam family "Bacterial small subunit ribosomal RNA", at positions 524 to 776 of the family's 1533-position model. The record is from RNAcentral.